UACAGGGGGGGCAAGCGUUGUUCGGAAUUACUGGGCGUAAAGGGCUCGUAGGUGGCCGACUAAGUCGGACGUGAAAUCCCUCAGCUUAACUGGGGAACUGCGUCCGAUACUGGAUGGCUUGAGUCUGGGAGAGGGAUGCGGAAUUCCAGGUGUAGCGGUGAAAUGCGUAGAUAUCUGGAGGAACACCGGUGGCGAAGGCGGCAUCCUGGACCAACACUGACACUGAGGAGCGAAAGCCAGGGGAGCAAACGGG
RNAcentral lists this ribosomal RNA (253 nucleotides) under uncultured bacterium. RNAcentral describes it as "partial 16S ribosomal RNA". It matches the Rfam family "Bacterial small subunit ribosomal RNA", at positions 524 to 776 of the family's 1533-position model. The record is from RNAcentral.